GAAGCGGAUGGCCACCCAGCCGCCGGCCGGCACGCCGACGGUGUUCCGCUCGACGGGGUCGACGAGGUUGAACUUGGCCGGGUCGUUGACGGGGUCGUAGUUGCCGUACCCUUGACCGACGACGAAGAAGUUGAAGCCGUGGAGGUGCAGCGGGUGGCUCUCGAUGCCGAGGAUGCUGGUGCCCUGCAUCACCAGCUCCACGUUGGUGCCGUACGGGAUCACCAUCAGCUUGGUCCCGUUGGCCACGUUGGUGUUGUUGGGCGGCGUCCCCGUGUAGUUGAACGGCGUCAGGGGCGCGACGGGGAAGUCCGACGAGUAGACGCCGCUGGACAGGCCGGUGAAGUGCGAGUGCAGCAGCGCCCUGGUCGGGAGCGCGAAGGAGACGUUGUUCACGGACGCCGCGAACUGCGUCGUGUUCGUGGGGCCCUGGCACGUCGUGUUGGCGGGGCACGGGUGCGUGCCGAGCCCGACGGUGAAGAAGAACUUCUUGUCCACCGUCUUCGGCACGGCCGCCGGGUACUGCGCGGUCGCGAGGCUCCGGAGCUUUGCCGUGAAGUUGCCGACGAAGUCGGUGUCGUUGAACCCCGGCAGCGUCGGCUUGUAGAGCGGCAGAGCCUUGUUGAAGCUCGGCGCGGAGGAAGGGGCGUCGGGGUACUCGUACUCGAGGAUGCCGGCGACGGUGGUGUUGUCGAAGGUGCCCGGCCUGGUGGUGGAGUAGGGCGCGGCGGACAUGUAGUAGUUGGCGCCGGGGUAGAAGGGCUUGGCGGUGAGGAGCACGUUGGUGGUCUGCCCCGGGGCGAUGAGCAGGGUGUCGACAGUGAAGGGCUUGACGUAGACGGCGUCGACCUCGACGACGGUGAGCGAGUGGUUGGCGAUGGAGAAGAAGAGCUCGUCGUUGAGCGCGGCGUUGAUGAGGCGGAGCAUGUACGUCUUCCCGGGCUUCACCUUCAGCUUGUACGUGUCUGCGUGUCACACGUGCAGGCAGGCCAGUGCGGAUUACAACAAAGUUUUUCGAUGCCGACGUGUAUCGGAAUAGAAAGCGCACCUAUCUGGAGGCGUAACUAAGAUUUCGUUUACGUCACACACCGGCCGGGACCCACCGCCGGUGAGGUUGCUUUUUAGUGCACCAAAAUGUGUUAGGUCAAGUACAAGUUUAUUGGAUCCCAUGACGGCGACGUUUUGCGUAAAUUCCCACAGCCAACAGCCAAUGCAAAGAUCCCGUUUCCAGAAAGGAACUCGGAAUCUUCUUUGCCUUUGGUGAUUUGAACCCCCCACCUUCGUGAAAACGAGGCCUCUUUUAUGAUCGAGUUUCAAAACGUAACUUGGGCAUGCAUGGAGAAAAUGAAAACCAGGGGGGCGCCCGUAGACGUCACCUUUUCCUUUCUGUUAGCACUGCUGCUUAGACUCUUUGCUUGCUCAUCAGCGUCGUCUUUUCUUUUUGUUUCGUUUUGUAUUUUUAGAUGCCAUGCCUAGCUCGUCCUUGCUUUGAAACUCCGUAACACUGACACGUAGCUUCACUAGUGUAAUCCAGACCAAAAGAAAAAAAAAAGAAAAAGAGAACAUAACCCGUACCUUUGGCAGAGCAGUUGUAGAGCGGUCCUGGGAGGCCGUUGAUGGUGUGGGCGUCAGAGACAUUCGGUCCACCGCCGGUCUGAAGCGCCUGCUUGAUCACCACCUCCGUGUCCGCCUGCCACCACUCACCUACCACCCAAAACGAAUCGCAUUUCGCGAUCGCACACAAAAUGGAUCAGUACCAUCAUCAACAACAGCAACACGAUCGUUUUCUCGUGGCGUUCGGCCGUUCACGUCGGCUGGCGGCGGAGACAGCAGACACACUCACCGAAGAUGACGGGGACCUCCUUGUAGGGCGCCGGGAACGGGUAGGGCACGCCGAGCUUGGGGAGGAUGACGAUGGGCCCGUAGACGGUGGCGCGGAGCCAGGAGAUGUGCGCGUGCCACCACAGGGUGCCGCGCUGCCCGACGACGGUGAAGUUGUACACGUAGCUCUGCCCCGUCUGGAUCGGGCACUGCGUGAUGUACGCCGGCCCGUCCGCCCACCCCGUCCGCAGCUGCCGGAUGCCGUGCCUGAUCAGAGUGUUCAGAGAAAAAUUUUCAGAGCUAGUAGCGUUCCCGGCAGGUGGCAGGGAUGAGAUAUUCUUGGAACGAACUUUUUGCGGGUGUUGUUGUGCCGCUACGACGACGAAGUAAUGCUAAAAGUGGGUGCACCAGCGCGCGCACUUUUGACUUCAAAUCACGCUCGUACGGGAGAGAGAGUAGGAUCGGAUCACUUACCAGUGCAGCGAGAUGUUGUGCUGUGCGUGGUUGGUGACGCGGACGACGACGCGGUCGCCUUCCCUGGCGACGAGCUCGGGGCCGGGGAACUGCCCGUUCACCGUGACGAUGCUCUUGCUGGAGCACAGCCGCGUCACGUUCGCCAUUGUCACCUGCGUGCAUUUAGGGUUCAUCGAUGGUCAAGACCACGUACUAGAGAUAGCACAAUCAAGACGGCCGUACGCGAGUAGCAUGGUAAGGAAAACGUGUGUACUAGCAGGCGAUCAAGAUAACACAAUCAAUGCAACGACGUACAUUGAAGUCGUAGUAUCUCGUGAUGCCUUGCACUUCGACGAUGGAGGCGAGGAGCAUCAGGGCCGCCACGAGGAGGGAGCACGGACGAAGAGCGGAGGAGAUCGCCAUCGCCAUGGCCCUGGCCAAACUUCUAGGCUCUGAUGACCGAUGGAGCAGCUAGCUAUCUGAAGUUGCUUUCGAUCGAGCUCUAGAGGCGACCGAAGAGAUGGAAGAGGAGCAACAAAUGUGUGGGUGUGUUGGGACAAGCGCUAGAGUCCUCUCCAUAUAUAGGGCAUGGCGAGCAAGCGCAAGUGUAUGGCAACUACCACCGCCACAUUUUCUUAGGUUUUUUACACGGUCGACAGGCACGCAGCUUGGGCGGCACUAUUAGUUUGGUGAUUCGGUAGAUGAGCGAUCAAGGGCGCAGGCAGGCCAGCUGCUCGAGCUAGCUGGAGUGCUCUAGCUUUAGAGUGUGGCCAAAGAAUGCGGCAACGAUCCCUUCUCUUUUGACCAUGCACGCACUGGGGUGAUCGCCGGCCGCUAGUUUAGUUUUGGUGAUUUGCAUGCCGUCACGUACCCUUUCCGGCGCAAGAGUUCGCCGACGGAAACUGAAAGGCAAACAAACUGCGUGCGUGCACAAGAGUAAAAACCGUUGUCUUGGUGGUGGUAAAGGAAAAGGUACGGUAGAUGGAUAUUUGCGAAGAAGAAUUCCCAAUCAUCAGAGACAAAAUCUUGUCGCGCUAUUGUUCUGCAAAAGGGCUUGUUAUGUACUCCCUCCGUCCUAAAUUAUACGCCGUUGUAGUUUUUAUAGAUUCAUAAUUUUUGCCAUAUAUCCUAUAUCUAAAUAUAUACUAUGUCUAGAUACACAGUGAAAGCUAUGAACCUAGAAAAACCAAAACGACCUAUAAUUUGGGACGGGGAGUAAUAUACAUGUUCCAUGAAAGAUCUUGUCCUAUACAAUGGGUAAUUUGACAUUUUGACAAUUGAAUGGUGAUGGCUUAUUAUUGGUCCCUAAUUCGUACUUGCUGGUUUAGACGACCCUGAACAAAAUCAGGGAGGUCAAGUGUCAAAAUCUACAGAUAAUAGGUGCUCUACAAGCAAUUGGGAAUCGAUUUCUUGAAGCAAAUAUUCCAUAUCCUUCACACUUAUUAAUAAAGCAAAUUGUUGAUUACACUGGCAUCUAGUGUUGAAAAAUAUGUUUACCUGUAUUUUGACAAGGCCAUCUAGAUAAUGACACCCAAAUAAAAAGAGGAAAAAGAUCUUCUAGGAACUGUGUGCAAAGGUUACUUCCUAAUUAGGUUGUGCAGCUUAAUCAAAACUACAUGAUGCAAAUAAUCCAUGAUUCACGUGGGCCACCAAAAAUUCUCGAAAGGGAGAAAUUUUUUUUUUCAUGGGGCAUCAACUAAAAAAGAAAGAAAACAGUUCGUCGCUGUCACCAACAUACUACGUAGCUUCCUACUACGUUCCCAUUUCUCCAAGUUCAGAAACCGGUUGACGCAGGUUUUUUCACCUACAGUUCAGUGAAUCUACGAGUUGUAGGAGUGUAUGUUUAAGAAUGGAUGCAUGAUCCCUUGCCAUGGAUCCCAAGACACCAUCCAUCCAGUAGGUGCUACCUGCAUGGUUGGUGUCUUAGCGUGUGUUCUUUCCUUGUACAAUGCACAACGGGGAGAAGGAUGCUUGACCCAACACGAUUGAGCGAUGCAACGUUUCCUUCCUCUUACUUUAUUGACUGAAAAAGAAGGAAGGCGGACCAACAGUAACAUGUAAAAAAAAAGGAAUGCAUUGAAUUUGCUCUCGCAACUCUCCCGGCCCUACUUCUAAUGAGGCAUUUCGGCGCAGAAAAAAUGCUUGUUUUGAAAUGCUAUAUGCAUAAUUAGUUAACUUGAUCGUUGGUAUGUGCAUUCAAAAGUAACUAGGUUAAUUGUUCAAGGUAGACAUUGAUAUGUGCUGCCAUAUUUAAUCAGACUUUUUAUCUCUAUUUCAUUUCUAUGUAAAUAAACAGAAAUAUGCACAUCUAUCAACUCUCUUAUAAAGAUCAUAACAUUUAAAAUACCAAAAUAAUAAUGAAAGAAUCACGAAGGUUUUUGACCAAUAAUAAAAAAAAUCAUGAAUUUGCCCAGUGCUGAUUUAACUUCCUGACGAGAUUUUAAGCCUUAUUAGUGGACUUUAUAUUAUGUACUACAAAUAAUCAUAUUUGUUUAUAUUAACUUUUGAAACAAUGAUAAGUACAAGGUUUUCCUAAAUCAUAGAGAAACUAUUAGUAAUACAUGUAAAUCAAUCAUAAUAUUUUCUGUACCAAGUAAUGCAAUGAUUCACUGAUAUGAUGGAGUAACAAGCAGUCUAGGAUAUGAUACUUUUAAAAAAAAUUUAGCUCGCCUCAAUGUUUCAUGUCUCUAUCUGUGAUCCAUACUGAACAAAAAGGUUAAUAAAUGACAGUGACCAAUUUUAAUUAAGCAUUCCCUAAUAAUGAUCGGUGACCGGAUGCCACAGAAUUGGUUUGAUUUUGGGCUCGGCUCAUAUUUCUGAAGUACCCCCAUCAUUAUUAAUUCUUAUGUAUUAUGACUGAAGUAGAAAGAGUGGCUAGGUCUUGCAAUAAUUUCUUAAAAACAAUUACAACACAAGUCACCACAUAUUUACAGAACCACAGGAUCGACUAUUUCCCUUGUUUCUCAUAAAAGUAAAAGAUCGACACAUGAGGAAAAUAGUUUUAUUCCUCAAAGAUCAAUUGCAAUCAUGGAAGCAAGGAAUAAAAUUAACCACAAGAUCGACUAUUUUCCUUGUUUCUCAUAAAAGCAGUUGCAGUUCAGGUAUCCAUGGCGUGGAAUAAAACUAACCACAAUAGUUUAUGAAGCACAAAUAGGUGAACAAGUGUUCUCUUCCUUGAUUGCAAUUGCUUUCCUCUCAUUUUCUUGAAAGAACAGAAGGCGCAAGCCCCUGCUGGUUAAUAUACUGAAAUAAAAUUAAGGUUAUUUACAGAGAGUCCAAAAGAAGAAAAAAAGAGACCAAAAAAAGAUUGACAACAAAUUACUGGAAUGAAUCUUUGCAGAUACUGAAAUCCGGGAAGUAACUCUUCUUUGCCCUAUGAAUAAGCAUGGCAAAUUCAUGUCAAAACUUGGUCUUUCUUACUGCAUCUAUUGUUAGGGCAACGUGAUUCAAGAUCUGAGCAUUUCUAAUUUCUGACCAUUUUAGUCCAUGUAUCCCUAAUAUAGCUUAAGUCAAUGCAGUUUUCAAAAUGUGCAUCUCUCUAAAUUUUUAUCUUUGUAUAGCAAUUCAGGGGGCUUCCACCUUGUAUUAAUGGAAAAGAGCCAUUAUGAACGAGCUAGAAAACGGGCACAAGACUUGCAAACCCAACAAGAUACCAUGCAUCCCAGGUACACAAAGAGUAGAAAAGAAAAGGGCAAAAAAACAACCCCGAUGAAGAACAAAGAGAGAAUCAAACAACACAUGACUCUGAAAUUAUUUUUUCAUUGGGUACCUUGAAUAAUUUAUCAGGUUUAAGUUUUUAGUUAAACUCAAAGAGAAGUAGCAAAUUUCUUUUUUUUUCCGUGGAUGGAGAUGUCCCAAGCCCCAGCCCUAGCAUGCAACUCCGGUGACACCCCCUCCCCCCACACCGCCACCUCCACCGCCGCCGCCGCCGCUUCACCUGUCGCAUCCACCUCCUCCGCUCCUGCCGCCGCAACACCCUACUCCCCGCCCGGCAACUCCUCCUCCCCUCUAGUGGGAGAUGAGACAGCCCCUUCGCGCCGCCGCCUCCGGGGGACUCGACAGUCUGCUAGCCCCUCCUUCCGCGUCCUUGGCCGGUCGGACCGCGCCUCGGCGGGGCUUAUCUCCGCCCGGCCUGGGGGCUGAUGGCGUCAGACUCCCAGCCCGCAGCCUCUCACCGGGGGAAGCAUUUCGUGACUUCGCACUUCACAAUUUCCAUGCCACUGUCUUCGCCCAGGUCUCGUCAGCCUCUCCCCUCCUGUCACCCUCCGACCUCUGGGUCUCCCCCUACCCUCACCUUCCCAUUUGCAAUCUUGCUUGGGUUCGGAACACCCUGAACUACUGGCUGGAUAGCGUGGUCCUUGCCAUCCCGCUUGUCCAAGUUGCCACUACCAUCUUCCGCGUCUCCCUUGCUCACCACACCAUCGCCCAGUUCAUUCUCACUCUCGGCGACUUGUGCCACGGCCGCAUCCGCCUGAGGUUCUUCCCUGACCUCUGCUCCGCCGCCGCAUCCAUCCCCAUUUCAAACUCUUUGGUCAUCCUUUCGGCAGGAUCCUAGGCAACCUCCUCUGGGCCAGCUUCUCCCGACCCAUCGCAGCUGCCUCCGGAUGGCCCACCACCCCAGCGCUCGCCUGGCGCCUCCCCCAAGGGUGGCGACCCCGAGGGUGGCGCACCGCUGCAGGCGCAUGCACGUCUCGUCAGCUCUGUCCCAGCUGCUUCGUAGGGCGUGCAUGGCUACGUUGCCCCCUGUGCCCGGUGCACCUUACCUACUAGGGACGGGCCUUCCCCACCAUCUGCGGUGCCAGGUGGCGCCGAUCCACCCGCCCCGUCGUGCGCCGGGUGCCCUGGGCUCCUCCCCCUACCGGUGGACAGGGGUUUCUUUCCACCGCUACACCCCCCUGACUCCUCCACCCUCCCAUCCCCGAAAAACCCCAACUCCACCCUCCUACGUUGUCGUCGCUUCAUCUUCCCCCUUCACCGAUCGCCAUCGCCGCACCCUUUGCCCCCGCACCCACCACGCCACCCCCUCACCACCAACCACCGCCACUGCUUCCGAUGCCUCACGCUUGACCACCGCCAUGCAGCCUGCCGCAACCCCAUCCAUUGUCGUCGCUGCUGGGUCUUCGGCCACAUCGAGUGUUUCUGUCGUGCGCCUCGGCACCCCAUUGCUCGCAGCAUGUUGGGUAUCCAUUCGAUGGUCCACCAGUCACCGACUCCGAGUCCUCCUCGCCAGCGUUGGCCUCCUCGCACUCGGCGGCAACCUCUAGCUCCAACCUGUCGGCUUCCCCGCCGGUCCCUGUCCACGCCGACAUCAAUGACUUGGCGGUGGAUGCCCUGGAGGAGGGUGAGAUCCCGCCGUCCGGGUCUGACCUGGAGGCCAUCGUCGAUGCCAACGUCGAUGAUGAUGACGCCCUCUCCAACGGCCAACAAGAACUGGAGGAGUAGCUGCAGCCGGACUCCAUCGAAGUCUUCAUGCCUCCGGUUCGCAUGUUGCGCUUCUCCCACCUGGCCUUCAUCCUCAUUGACCUGCUGCCUCCCAACCUUAGCUCCCUUGUCCGCCAAGCUCUCAUCGCCCAGGGUGGCCAUCCUCGGGUAACCCUCACCAUCUCUUCCUACAAUGCCGCUUUGAUUAUGUUUGAAAGUAAUGCUGCUCGUGAGGACGCCAUCCAGCUUGCCUCCUACCUGGGGUAUGAACACGUCGUCAACCUGGAGUGCCACAAGGAGACCCCCAACCGUUUCCACUUCUAGCGCGAUGCCUUCGUUGCCGUCGCUAUUUGAGGGUACCCGAUGGAGCAUUGGAAGCGCAUCAUCUUCUCCGUGGGUCCCUAUGCCAAUCCACACUUCAUCGACCCAAUCUACCUGUCUGGUACGGAUUUCUCCGCUGUGCUCCUCAUGCUCAAGGUCGAGGGUGCCAAUGACAUCCCGCUCAAGGAGUUCAUCAAGAACCAUAAUGAGUUAGGCUCCUUCGCCACCAUCGAGAUCCUGCACGUUAGGACCUGGACGAAUCAGACUCGGACGAUGAUGGCCCUCAGCCCCCUGAAUUCGGCCUUGGGUCGCCGCUCAACAACGACAAUGGUGGUGGCCCAGCACCUCCUGGGAGGGGGGGCUGGCCAUGGCCCAGCUACAGCGUCGAUGUUCAGUGCUCCCCUUCACGGGCCAGGUGGUGGUGGUGGCGCUCAACAACUCCAAGUGGUGCGCGCUCCCUGCAGAUCAGGCCUCAGCAUUCCUGUCUGCUGCGGAUGUUCUGCCGGUCCCAGUGGGCAGGCUCCGCAACCAGGUCGUGCUGCCUGAGGCCAACGCAGAGCCCCUCCUCACCAAACCUGCGACCGUGAACAUCAUCCUGCGCCAGGGAUCAUUCUUCGAGAUCUCCACCAUCGCCGAGGAUGGAUCCAAAGGCUUCUUCAAAGUCCCGCUCUAGCUGUACCGCACUGAUGUUCGUGGUGACCAGGGGAUGUUCGUCAUCAACUUCUGCUUCGUCUUCGGCUUCCUACACAAGGUGGCAGCAGUGGGUGCCCGUGGCUGCGCCUCCUUCUCCUCUGACAUCCUCUGUGUGGGGCUGCAGCCACCGGCGAACUUGUCCCUCCUCGAUGCCACCAAGCUCUGCGAUGGGGCUGCUGUCCCCCGCAUCCUGCCGCCUAUCGCUACUGAUGCGAGGGCUCUGGCACCGGAACCUCCAGUGCUGGAGGCUGUGGAGGGCGCAGCUGCUCCAUCCUCACUAAGCUUCAACUCCCUGGAGGAAGGAGUCCGCCACUGCAGCAGGCUGGAAGCGUUCUACGACAUCUGGAAGUGCAACCACAUCAUCGAGGAUGUCCCGGUGCCGCUUGUUGAGCUGUGGUUCAGUGUCUCAGCCUCCUCCAUCACCCUCCAGAGGGAGCUCUCCUCGCUGGAGCCUUUACCGCACGCUCGCGCCACUCCGACUAGCUUAAAGCCAAGGAGCUGGCCGCUUGCGAGAUGGUCUCCGAGGAUGCCAUCCGCAUCAAGAAGUGGAUGCUGGGCACCGUGACUCCACCCUCAGCUCCUAACCCUGCUACCAACGGGAAAGCCAACGGGAACGUGAACGCUGAUGCUGUUGAAGAUGAUCCUACGCACAUCGCGGCCACCACUACUCCUACUGCAAUGGCUGCACCUGCUUUCCCGACCCUAGCCUGGUGUGUGGUGGACCUCAAGCUCCUGGGUCGUGCCUGCUGCUUGCCUCAACACCCUCGACAAUGCCCUGUCACUGAUCGUCGACAAUGUGGACUAAUGCCGUGGUGUAGUCCUCACUUGCUCAUGCUCCAGUCUCUCUUUUGCUCAUGCGAUUGUGGGUCAUGUAAUGUAAUCACCCUCGACAAUGCCCUGUCACUGAUCGUCGACAAUGUGGACUAAUGCCGUGGUGUAGUCCUCACUUGCUCAUGCUCCAGUCUCUCUUUUGCUCAUGCUUUUGUGGGUCAUGUAAUGUAAUCACCUACCAGCUGCCUAGAAUGCUUGUUGUCAGUGAAACUUUGUGCGCUUGUCGUCUGAACCUAAAGAGGUGCCCUUGUGGCCUCCUCUCGCCAUCGGAGCAUGAUAUUUGUGACUUGUUUGCCUAUAUCGUGUCUCUGUGUGUACUGAUUCUCCUUGCCUGGGUCUACUCAUGUUCUAGUUCAUGUGGUUCUUGGGUUUUUUAUGGCUAACAACUCUCUAAACAUGUCAUGGAAUGUGCGUGGCCUGGGGGAUAAGAAGAAGUGCAUGGAUGUCCGAUUGGCCUUCCCAGCCUCUUUGCCUACCAUUGCUAGCCUCUAAGAAACUAAACUACAUGUCAAUGUUUUAUACCUGGCAACCUACCGAGGGGUAUCCCGAGGUAGUAGAUUGAUCGGUAGGGGAUCAUUGGACCUGGAACUCAAAGGUGAAAGCGAAGCCACAAGACACAGAUUUAUACAGGUUUGAGCCACCAGAGUAGCGUAAUACCCUACGUCCUGUUUGGGGUGUUGUAUAUUGCGUCCUACGCUUGGGCGUUGUUUCGUGUUGAGGAUUUGGUCCUCUAUUAUGGUUCUAUGAGGUCUUAGCCUACUGAUCUAGUGACCCCUGCGCUCCUUUAUAUGCUCCAGGGGGCGGGAUUACUUGUCGGUUACAAGGAGUCCUAGCAGGAUUACAUGGUAUGAGUCCUAAUAGGAUUACAGAGGAAUCCUAGUAGGAUUCCAUCUUCUUCCUUCCUUGCGAGUACUGGGGAUCUAUCCCUAGCAAGCCCCCGAGCGCUUCAUAGUUAAAUGUAACAACUCAAGUACUUUUUAGAUCCUCGCCGAGUAGUUUAGUGCUUCUCGAGUACUUUGUCUGGCUAAAUCUUCAAACAUACUUGAGCAUUGUCGUGCGGCUAGAAUGUGCUUAAGCCUGAUUUAACUUGGUCUGGAUGGGGUGCCUAUGGCUACUGCCAUGUUGACUACGUUGGGAUGGGGUGUGUGGAACUGAGUGUAUCGGGUUCUGCUGAUCGAGUUGUUCGUACGUGUGCUCUGCCAGUUCAGCCAAUUGCCUGGUGUAUUUAUCCUGUGGCAUUGCGCGGGUAAUAAGAUCAAUGAACGCGAUGAUGGCAAGAGGGGUACGAUGUUGACGCGAUUGAACCGCUUCAAACUCGUGAUCCAGGUUCAUGAUUGGUAGGUCUGCUGCAAGGUGGUGCUCUGCUCUUGCAGCGUUCCUUACUCGUCGUCGAGUUCUUUGAGCUUCAGUCUCUUCUCCAGCAACAUUAGCGGUGAGCUCAUCCUGCAAGACGUCAUCUAGGUGACAUUCAUGCCACGGAUUUCUCUUUGGUUGCUCUUCAUCUUCACACUCUUGUCCAGCAAUAAGAGCGAAGAGUUUUCGUUUCGGAGAGUAGCUUCCCGAACUUGACGUGAUGACCUCCUUGGUGCCCUCUUCCUCAUAGAUGGGUGACAGACGAGCUCCCUCCUAGUACGGGAGGGUGUAUGGUAGGCAAUAAGGUGUGAAUCGUCGUUCUUGGUAAGAGAGGUGGCUUCAUGUUGAGCCAGAAGAAUCUGCCUUGUGAGGUUGAUGUGAUUACCAGACCCUACUGCAAACCUGAUAAAGGGGUCUCCUCAUCCAAAUCCGAGUAGUAGUCGGGGUCCUCGAUCAUAUUUGUGCCGAAUUGUGAUCUGGACAGGGUAGCUUGGUAAAUAGCACCCGUGUUUCGGAGUCCGAACGGGAAUUGACUUGAGUCGUAGUACGAUUUGCACGAUGGCUUGAGCGUCGGCUCGUGAAAACCAGUCCGACUAGUGGGAAAAGUCAAGUUGUACUCGGAUUCGUCCCCCUGGCCUCUGACUAAGUCAAAAAUUGAAAAUUUGCUGAAUUUGUCGACGAGAUCCUCCAGGGCCUUACGCUGGAGCUUCAUGGCAUGCUGCUUCUUUUCCAAGGCCGGCACGAUUCAGCGGUGGAAGUUUCCAGCGUUGUCUGCGACGCAAACUCGGGAGCCUAAGAGGAACGUCACGCCUAUUUUGAAUGUGAUGAUUGGCUUGAUGACGACUUGGGCCAUCAAGUUCGCUAGUGGAUUCUCAGCGAGCUCCCUUACUUGGCGCGUCAGCCGUCCUGUGUGUUGGUUGUUGUAUAUUGCACCCUGUGUGUUGAGGAUUUGGUCCUCUGUUGUGAUUCUCUAUAUGCUGACGUAGGUACCCCUGCCCUCCUUUAUAUACUCCAGGAGGCGGGAUUACUAGCCGGUUAUAAGGUAGAAGUUCUAGUAGGAUUACAUGGUAUGAGACCUAAUAGGAUUACAGAAGAAUCCUAGUAGGAGUCCAUCUUCUUCCUUCCUUGCGGGUAGUGGGGAUCUAUAGGAUGUCGACCGUUUCAAGGCGGCUUCCAUUCUUUCCCACCCAAUUGCCAUGACCUACACCUUCAACCCCUCCAUUAGCGCCUUCGGCAGCAUCCUCACCGCCUGGAACCCCAACCACCUCUCGCUCACCUCAUCAUCCACCUCUGCUCACACCCUCACCUCCACCUUUCAGUCUACAGCCAAUUGCUCCACCUUCAUUGCGAUGAACUGCUACGGUCCUUGUGCCCACCAGGACAAGCAGGCCUUCUUGGACGAGUUAACUUCGCUUUCCUCUUCUAUUUCAGGUGCAUGGAUUGUGCUAGGGGAUUUCAGUCUUGUUCGUUCUCCUGGAGAACGUUCCAAUGACAACUUCGACAUCCACGAAGCUGAUUGGUUCAACUCAAUGAUUGAUGAUCUCGCACUCCUGGAAGUCCCUCUUUUGGACCGUCGGUUCACUUGGUCCAACCACCAGUAGUCGCCUAUCUUGGUCAUGUUGGAUCGUUUCCUGGUUAACGUUGAUUGGAGUAAGCAGUUCCCGAAUCCUGCUCACGGCCUCCAUGUCCAUUCCACGACUGAUGAUCUUUCGAUUCAACAACCACUGGACUUGGGUGCCAGGCUGCCACGAAGUCAUAAGGGGGCAUGGUCUAGUGUUCAUAGCUGCACGGAUUCUACUAAGCUAAUGCUUUGACUCAAGAGGUGUCGUGCUGAUCUUAAGUCCUAGAAGCACUCUCACCGCUCACCGUGCAACGUCUUGCUCAACUGCAGCUUGGUCAUUGCAAUGAUGGGAGGUCCGCCCGCUCUAUCCUACAGAAUUUGUUCUCCGUUCUCUGGUGCGUGAUGCUACUCGCGAGCAUACUGCACAGCUUUCCAUCUUUUGGUGACAGUGAAGCAAGGUUCAUUCCUGCCUUCUGAGUGAUGCCAAUUCUAAAUUUCAUCACUUAUCUACAACGGUCCGUUGGCGCCGCAAUCAGAUUAGGACACUUCAACUGGAUGAUGGCAUAGAGGUUCAUCGUCACUCUGCGAAGGCUAUGCUUCUACGUGACUUCUACAGUCAGCUCCUUGGUGUUGCUGAUCCGGCAACCUCUUUGCUCUUCACUAUAUCACUGCAACAGCUUUUUGCCUCAACCACUUUGUCACUCACUCAAGUUGCUAGUCUGAUUCAGCCAUUCACCAUUGAUGAGCUCAAGGAUAUUAUCAACUAUAUGCGUAUGGACACUGCUCCUGGACCAGAUGGAUUUCCCCCCAAUGUUCUUCUAGGCUAACUUUGCCAUGGUCAAGGAUGACCACAUGCAGCUCUUACACAACUUCCACAACUGCACGGCUGAGCUCCACUGGUUUAACAAAGCUUAUCUUGCACUGCUAAUAAAGAAAGAUGUCUCCCUGCUGCCGAAGGACUACCGGCCAAUUUCAUUGCAAAACUGCAUCAUUAAGAUUUGCACCAAAGACAUGACAUCGCAGUUCCAACCUCUUAUUCCCCUCUUGGUGCAUUGUGAUCAAACAGGGUUCCUCAAGGGUAGGUGUAUCGCUGAGAACUUCAUCUAUGCCACUGAGAUUGUCCAAUGUUGUCACGAAAGAAAAGCACCUACUGUGGUUCAUAAGUUGGACUUCCGAAAGGUCCUUGACUCUAUCAGUUGGAACGCUCUUGAUCUCAUCCUACAAGUGAAAGGGUUCCCUCCCUAUGGUGUAAGUGGAUUCAGCUCCUCAAUGACUCUAGCCAAACGGCCGUUGUCCUCAACAGCGUGCUAGGAUCUUGGAUACAAUGCAGAAAAGGUCUCUGCCAAGUCGAUCCACUCUUCGCAUACCUCUUCAUCCUUGUUGUGGUUUUGCCGCAACAAAUGAUCCUCCAUGCCUCCAACCAGGGCCUCCUGCAACACUCGCUAGUGAUGGAUUUGCCUUGCUCGAUCCUUUAGUACGCUUAUGACACCUCAAUUGUGCUCAAGGCAGAUCAAGACCAGCUUCUUCACCUCAAGUCACUCCUUGAUAGCUUCUUCUUCACUGGCCUCCAUAUCAACUACAACAAGAGUACCUUUGUGCCAAUUGGAUUGGAUGGUCAACAAGAACAAAUGCUUGCUGCGUCAUUGGGUUGCCCGAUCGUCCAAUUCCCGCAGAUCUACCUGGGACUUCCUCUAUCUGUUCACAAGCUCCGGUGCGAUGAUAUGCAGCCUCUAGUCAACGUUGUUGGCAACUACAUCCCGGGUUGGUGCGGCAAGAUCCUCACGCCUAGUGGGUGUAUGAUCCUUGCAAACGCUGUCCUGGGUGCACGAUCAAUCUAUGCCAUAUGUUCCAUCCGCUUACCCAAGGGCACAAUUGAAGCCAUCGACGCUCACCGGCGAGCCUUCUUAUGGACCGGGGAUGCCUCCUGCUCUGGAGGACAGUGCAAAGCUGCCUGAAUAAUGGUCUGUUUUGACAAGGAUAAGGGUGUCCUCGAUUUUAAGGAUCUUGCAACACAAAACCAUGGCCUCCUACUCAAAUUCGUAGCCAAGCUCCAUCAACCACCUUCGACCAACUGGCAAAGAUGGUUCCAUCGCAUGUAUGUCUCUGGUGUUGGAAGGGAACUUGGAGAGCUGCAUCAUCUUGACACACAUAUCUGGUAAUCUCUUCUGUGGCUGCUGCCUGAGUUCCACUAGUGCACACGAGUGCACCUGGGUAAUGGCGGCAGCACAUCAUUUUGGUUUGAUCACUAGAUUGGAGAGCGAUCGUUUUCUGAAGUGUUCCCAGUUCUAUUCUCUUUCACCAAGAAUCCACAGCUAUCUGUUGGGAAGGCCUUUGUUAAUGGCUCAUGGGAUCUCUCUCUACACCAACGACCGUCUUCUGCUGGAAUCUUUGGCUGUGAUCAACAACACCUCCUCCCCUGACAGGCAUGGAAUCGGGAUUGGCCUACAAUCAUUCUCCUCCUCAGCCUUCUAUGGGUGGACGAUGGAACAGCGCCCACUAGAUGAGUUCGCUGACUACAUCUGGUCCAGCGCCACGACGCCACGCGCCAAGCAUUUUCUAUGGCUGCAGCACCGUGAUCGCCUGCCUUCCGCGAUGUUGCUUCAUCACCACAGCAUCAUUGACUCAACACUCUAUGCUUACUGUGCUGCACACGAGGAUCAGGAUCACAUCAUCAUAAGGUGUGCACAAGCUAAACGUAUCUGGCGUGCCCUAUGCUGGGAUUGUGCUUCGCACCUUGUGUCCUUCCGAGACCUCUGGCACAUCCUGCAACUCCAUGAUGAUGCAUCACCCAAGGUGCGCUCAACCAUCAUCACGGCCAUUACCUGGAACAUCUAGAAAACAUGGAAUGACUUGGUUUUCAAUGGGAUCGUUGCCUCGGCGAACGCAUGCAUCCAUGCAAUCGCGUCGGAUAUUGAUCUCUGGGUUCACCGCACUAGGAACGCGGAUUCUCUCUUUCUCAAGGCGUGGAGUUCAUCUCUUUGUAAUAUACCAUAGCUAAAUUACUCCUUCUCUCAUCCCCUCCUCUCAUAAAUCCUGUAUGCAACAACUUUGUCAUAUUAAUAUAAUGUUCAGGCUAGCUUCUUGCCUGCCGUAGCACCCUUCAAAAAAAAGUAGCAAAUUUGAUGAGUAUGACAACAGAUAGGACAUGUUACAAGCAAUAACUAAAGUGAAAUGUUGCAGUCUUGCAAACGGCGAACACUAGCGUGAUUACAUCUUAACAACGAUACUAAUGCUAUCAAGUAGUUGUCUUUGGAGAAAAAUGCUACCAAGUAGCACUAGUAGAGAAACAACUUUCCAUCUAGCAACAUAAAUCUCGAACGGUUUUGGACCCGGGACUAAAUCCUUUAGUCCCGGGUCUAAAUUUUAGAGUCUCUCAGAUCCCUUUUAAUCCUGGUUGGUGGUUCCAGCCAAGAUAAAAGAGGAGCUUUUAGUCCCGGUUGAAGCCACCAACCCAGAUAAAUGAGCACGGAACCCAUUAGUCCUAGCUAGUGGCUCUAACCAGGACUAAAAGACCCCUUUUAAUUUCGGUUGGAGCCACCAAACAGGACUAAGUAUUUUUACCGCUGGCGGUCCCUCUCUCCACCUUAUCUUCUCUCCUCCUCUCCCCUUCUCCCUUAUCUCCUCUCAUUUUCUCCCUUAUCUCCAGGCACAGGCGUUAUCUGAAUGCGCGUUGGGGGGCACGAGCGGUUGGGGCCGUGUGGCUAGCGUGGGAGCGCACGGGCCGGCGGGGCACGCAGCGGUCGGGACCGCCUCCCGCGGCCGACCUGCUAGGAGCGGCGGAGCGCCAGCGGCCAUGGCCAAGGCCAUAGAGCGGCGUGCGUCCUGGGGGCACGGCGGCCGCCAUGGCCCGACCUCUAGCGGGGGCGCAACUCCACGCGGCAUGCCAUCUCCGUGACGCACGACCGGUGGCAGGAGCGCAGCGGUGGGGGGCACGAGCGCCGGGGCCGUGCAGCUGGCGCGGGAGCGCACGGGCUAGCGGGGCAUGCAGCGGCCGGGACUGCCUCCCGCGGCCGGCCUGCUGGCGGCCAUGGCCAAGGCCAUAGAGUGGCGUGCGGCCUGGGGGCAUGGUGGCCGGCACGGCUCAGCCUCCAACGGGGGCGCGGCUCCCCGCGGUGCGCGAUCGGCGGCGGCAGCGCGACGGUGGAGGGCACGAGCGGCUGGGGCCGCGCAGCUGGUGCGGGAGCGCACGGUCCGGCAGGGCACGCGGUGGCCGGGACCACCUCCCGCAGCCGGCCUACUAGAGGCGGUGGGGUGCCGGCGGCCGUGGCCAAGGCCAUGGAACGGCGCGCAGCCUGGGGGCACGACGACCGAUGCCGCCCGGCCUCCAACGGGGGCGCGGCUCCUCGCGGCAUGCGACCGGCGGCAGGAGCGUGGCGGUGGGGGGCACAAGCAGCGCAGCGCAAGUGGCCCUGCAUGGUUUGUUUGUGAGUGAAUAGUGAUUCGGUAGUGCAUGAUUUGUGCGAAUUGUUUAUUGUGUAUCACGUCUUGUGCGAAUUGAUUGGUUGUGUGUUCUUGCUCAUCACUGGAGACGGCAUGAUUUCUCUAUCUAGGUUUUGGUUAGUCUUUAUGCUGAAAAAAGAUUGCUACCAUCUAUGCUAUCAAGCUCGAUCUUCACAGAGGAAUGCAUCAUAUUGAAGUAUAGAGCUGCAUGCAUCGACCAGUUCAAAUAAAAACUUAUAUUGAUAGGGAAAUCUCAGUUACACUUCAACACAUCCAUUACUUUUCCUUAUAGCACUAGUAGGGAACUGAUCUUCCAUCCAGAUGCUUUUAUCCUGGUUGACUUUGGACCCGGGACUAAAGUGCCUUUAGUCCUAGGUCAGAAACACCAACCGGGACUAAAGACCCCCCCCCUUUAAUCCCGGUUGGUGUUUCUAAUCGGGACAGAAGACCCCCGUCCCACGCACCCCCCCCUCUCCACCUUAUUUUCUCCUCACCCUUUCUCCCUCCCUUAUCCUCGCGCACCACCUCCUCUCUCCCUCCACCGCACCGUCCUCUCUCCGUCCACCGUGCCUACCUCUCCUCCCUCCCUUAUCCUCGUGCUGCGCCUCCCCUUCCCCCUCUGCUCGCCCCUCACUGGCAGUGAGGAGCGGCAGUGGGGCGAGGCAAGGCAAGUGGCGGGCGCGAGCGGGCCGGCGGCUGGCAGGCACGGUGCGGGCGAGCGGGCGGGUGAGCGGAGGCGGAGCAAAGGCGGGCGGAGGCGAAGCCGAGGUGGGCCCAUUUUUUAUUUUGUUUAACUUUUUAGUCCCGCUUGGUAAUACCAACCGGGACUAAAGGGGGUCUUAGUCAUGAGUGAAUGAACCGGGACCAAAGGACCCCCCCCCCCCCCCGUCUCAAAAAUUUAGUCCCACUUGAAUUUUCGGGAUCUAUGGCACUAUCCAACCGGGACUAAAGCCGCGUUUUCCACCAGCGUAGGAAGGAAGAAUAUUGAGAUGUCGCUUGUCCUCUGUAUCCACAGUCACCUGCUUGAUACGUGUUAAAUUAUGUAAAGGAACCUUUGGAGAACAUUUGCAAAAAAAAAGCUAUGCACUUUUGAAUUCUCCAACUGGCUGUGGACUAAAUUGUAGUAAAUCACAAGUAAAUGGAGCCAGUCAUCUGCUCCCAUGUGUUUUGAAAGGUCUCAUUUGUAUUGAAUCUGUGAUCCUCUUCCCCACCAACCACCUUAAGUCUAUUGUCAUCCUAGCAUAAACAUUGGCUGGCUAUUAAUUUGCUUUCUAGCCAUUAUUGUUAUUGCCUCUCAUGCUCAGAUGUUUUACAAGUAUGCAUGCCUCUCCCCUCUUCUGUAAAAAAAGCCAUCGCAUUUUCCUAGCUUGAUCUCUUCCUGUGCCAUCUUCACCUUCGCCGCUGCUUCAUUCACGCACACCCAGCUUGGAAUGAGAGGUACCAACAAAUUAACUGUGUGGCUCAUAUUUUCCACCUGUCACCAAAAAUUUUAAAUCCACUUGAAUAAAUUCCACGGUUUUGGCAUUCACGGGUGUUCAUAACACAUAUCAACAAAACGAUGAGAUAGUAAGAUAUUGAGGUAGCAAUGGAUGGCAAGCUUGAACCUAAUCCCUUAGUUUUACCAUGCCUAACGGGAAGAUUUAAUUUGCAUCAAUACGGUACUAAUAGAUUGAACUUCAUGGUAAAUAUAUGAAUUUGUGGAUAAAAUAAACAAGUCAAAUAAUCGAACAUUGAAGAAAACAUAUAUAGUUCCAAAUAACCAUAGUAGUACAUAAUAUUUUGAAUCAAUAAGGUUGAGAUUUAUUGAUUUUUGCAAUGGUGAAUAAUUUAUAAUUUAAAUCUUGGGUGGAGUCUACAAACUGCAUGGAGUCUACCAUUUUGUUCUGACAUAUAUACAGUACUCCAAUAAGGUAGUAAACAACUAAUCAUUAGGGAUAUUGGCGCUGCCCAAUGCUUAUUAGAAAGGUAGUAAUAAAUAAUCUACCUAUUAUCUUAGUUUUUCACCAAUAAAAGAAGGGCAACAGAAGUCAUAGAAAUUGCCACAUUAGCGAGGGCAAAUUAUCCAUAUACUUGUUUAUAAAGUACCCACCCACUAGUCCACUACCCUUCCACAAAUAAUUAUGCCAAAAUACCCCAUAUACCUACUUCUGCAUAACCCACCACUACCAUAAUGCAAAACUAAGCCAAGCUAUGCGCUAUUGAAUUCUCAAACCGGCACGUAUCUGAAUUUGGGAUGGAGGGGUAUUCUUUAUUUAGCAUGUGCCCAUGCGGCCUCGACCAACCAUCCUUUUCUAGUCCUGCGGGCAGCAAGCUUGCAGCGCCCACGAAUAAAAAUAAAUUGGGACCAUGUAGCCUGUUGCUUCAGUACCUUGUGCCACUCUGAUCGAUAUCGCAUCUGCUUAUGACCAUAUAGUAGUCAAUAAGCUGCAGGUAGGCUAGCUUUCAUUGUCGUUCCGCACUGCAGGACUGCAAUCCUGCCUAGUACAUGCAUAGAAAUCAACUAGCUAGAAAUGGGAGGUAUCGGAAGUUCCUAAUCACUACAUGCAAGCUUUUUCUCUGAGGAUUCUAGAUGCAUCGUCUAAUGAACGUAGAUGAGGAAAGGUUGCUAUCAUCCAUUUAUCUCACAUCACAUCAAGCUCUCAGGACGCUUCACGGAGGACUCAUGGCUAUGGAUUUUGUUGUGCCGAACAUGGGGUUGAGGCUUCCAAGAGGAAGCGGAACCUUUUGGCAUGCUCACCGCCUCUUGCUUGGCACUCGGCACCUGCUGGCUGUAAUGUGCACGCUGCCCACUGGUACCUGGUACCGUUCGUGCUGCCGGUUUGGCGGGCACUAGAAGACAAAAAGUUCCGGGUCUAAAUUUUAUAGUCUCUCGAAACCCUUUUAAUCUCGUUUGGUAGUUUCAAUCAAGAUAAAAGUGGAGCUUUUAGUCUCGGUUGGAGCCACCAACCCUAAUAAAUGAGCAUAGAAACCAUUAGUCCCGGUUGGAGCCACCAACCGGGACUACAUAUUUUUACCGCAGGCGGCCCCUCUCUCUCCACCUUGUCUUCUCUCCUCCUCUCCCCUUCUCCCUUAUCUUCUCUCAUUUUCUCCCUUAUCUCCACAUAGGCGUUAUCUGAGCGCGCAAUGGGGGGCACGAGCGACCCGGGCCACACGGCUGGCGUGGGAGUGCACGGGCCAGCGGGGCACGCGGCGGUCGGCCUGCUAGGGGCGGCGUGGCGCUAGCGGCCGUGGCCAAGGCCAUGGAGCGGCACCGGCCUAGGGGCAUGGCGGCAGGCGCGGCCCGUCCGGCCAGCGGGGGUGCGGCUCCCCGCGCGCACGACAUCCGCAGGAGCACGGCGGUGAGGGGCAUGAGCAGCCAGGGCCGCGCGGCUGGCGCGGGAGCACACGGGAUGGCGGGGCACGCGGCGGUCGGGACCACCUCCCACGGCCGGCCUGCUAGGGGUGGCUGGGUGCCGACGGCCGUGGCCAAGGCCAUGGAGUGGUGUGCGGCCUGGGGGCACAAAGGCUAGCUCGGCCUCCAACGGGGGCACGGCUCCCCACGGCACGCGAUCGGUGGCAGGAGCGCGGUGGGGAGGGGCACAAGCGGUCGGGGUUGCGCGGCUGGUGUGGGAGCGCAUGGGCCAGCGGGGCACACGGUGGCCGGGACCGUUUUCUGUGGCCGGCCUGCUAGGGGCGGCGGGGUGCCGGCGGCCGUGCCCAAGGUCAUGGAGCAGCGCGCGGCCUGGGGGCACGGCAGUUGACGCCGUCCGGCCAGCGGGGGCGCAGCUCCCCGUGGCGUGCGACUGGCGGUGGGAGGCACGAGCGGCGCAGCGCAGGUGGCCCGACAUGAUUUGUUUGUGAGUGAAUAGUGAUCUAGUAGUGCAUGAUUUGUGCGAAUUGUGUAUUGUGUAUCAGAUUUUGUGCGAAUUGAUUGGUUGUGUGUUCUUACUUGUGUGAUGAUCAUGUGAGAUGAGCAUAUUUUUUUUGCUUCAAUUUGUGAAGCAUCAAUUGUUUCUUGCUCUUGAUUUGGUUGUCUCGGUGGUGAAGUUGGAGCUGAGGUGGUACGGUGGUCGAGGCAGAGCUGUAGGGGUGGCGGCGCGAGCAGGCAAGACGGAGGGCGGCCCACUUUUUUUUAUUUUUUCGGAAUACUUUUAGUUCCGGUUGGUGCUACCAACCGGAUCUUUAGUCCCGAAUGAUUAGUCCUGGUUGGAUUUUCAAGACCUAUAUGUCUCUCCAACUGGGAUUAAAGCUCAGUUUUUCAUCAGUGUAGUUGUCAAUAAAAGGUUGUAUGGUGCAACAUAUAACUCAAUAAAUUCCAAUCCCAGUACAUAUUAUUUAGGAGGCACACCUGGAUACACAAUCCAGUUCUCAGAUAAGAUUUACAAAAGAUGAUGGUAACUGAUUGCAAUCAAAAAAUUAAUGGCGUUGCCUUUGAUCAAGGAACCUUCCUGCCCGUGAGACUCACACGCAGCUAACCAGACGACGUCUGAACUGGAAAAAGCAGAAACCGCUAAUGGAAGCGUUUCAUAGCACCAACCACAGCACAAGCAAAAGAUGCUAAAAUAUCCUAUGCAAAUUGGGGAGCACGCAGCAAUCUCUGUAGAUUGCGUCAAUCAGUCGAUGGCGAUUAUCGGCAAUUCCGCGUGUCGCCUAGCAUUUGGGGAGAUCAGACGGCGGAGGCAGCAGCUUCUCUUUAGGCUUGUCUCCGUCCAGCACCAGCCAUGCCAUUUUCAGGCCCCAGCUGACGUGAACCUCCAAGUGGCAAUGCAUGAACCACACCCCUGCACACACGACUACUGUUAACAUUCUCCAAGAAGCUUGGGUUAUCCCAAACCAAAGUCACUUUGCUUCCUCAUCAGAUCGUUGCUGAUCUGGCACAGUUAGUAUGUCACGGUAAUUUUUGAAUUCUUACCUGGAUUGUCUGCACGGAACCGGAUGGCCACCCAGCCGCCGGCCGGCACGCCGACGGUGUUCCGCUCGACGGGGUCGACGAGGUUGUACUGGGCCGGGUCCUUGACGGGGUCGAAGUUGCCGAAGCCUUGGCCAACGACGAAGAAGUUGAAGCCGUGGAGGUGCAGCGGGUGGCUCUCGUUGCCGAGGAUGCUGGUGCCCUGCAUCACCAGCUCCACGCUGGUGCCGUACGGGAGCACCACCAGCUUGGUCCCGUUGGACACGUUGGUGUUGUUGGGCGGCGUCCCCGUGUAGUUGAACGGGAUCAGCGG
This 22092-nucleotide long non-coding RNA is filed under the name Setaria viridis. RNAcentral's name for it is "long non-coding RNA (SVIR_LNC006138)". The record is from RNAcentral. Lineage: Eukaryota; Viridiplantae; Streptophyta; Magnoliopsida; Poales; Poaceae.